UGUAGGGAUGGAUGACUAGUCAAGAU
RNAcentral lists this non-coding RNA (26 nucleotides) under Homo sapiens (human). Lineage: Eukaryota; Metazoa; Chordata; Mammalia; Primates; Hominidae. The record is from RNAcentral.